This 403-nucleotide ribosomal RNA is filed under the name Rhipicephalus sanguineus (brown dog tick). Its description in RNAcentral is "partial 16S ribosomal RNA". Lineage: Eukaryota; Metazoa; Arthropoda; Arachnida; Ixodida; Ixodidae. The record is from RNAcentral.
AGGAAAUUAAAAGUUGAACAAACUUCUUUUUUUAAUAUCUGCAUUAAAAAAGUAUCCUAAUCCAACAUCGAGGUCGCAAACUUUUUUGUCAAUAUGAUCUAUCAAAAAAUAUAACGCUGUUAUCCCUAGAGUAUUUAACAUAUAAUCAUUAAUAAUGGGUCAUUUUAUUUUAAAAAAGUUUUAAAUAUUUUUCCGCCGCCCCAGCUAAAAUUUUUUCAAUAGUAGUUACAUAUUAAAUAAAAUUUAUAAAUUCAUAGGGUCUUCUUGUCCUUAAUAUUAAUAAUUGUUUCUGCACAAAUUAAAAAAAUUUCAAUUUUUAACUUGAAAAAAGUUUUUUUCUGAAAUUCCAUUCUCUUAGCAUUCAAUUAAAAUCUUAUUUCAAUACCUUUGUAUAGUCAAAAUA